AAAAAUCUGGAGGAUAUCACCAUUGAUCCAACUGAAAAAGUAGUGAUUGAAAAUGAAACAUCAGAAAGUGAGGAAGAAUUGAGUGAUCAUGAAGGUGAUGCAGAAAUGCAAGUAAAGCAGAUGAAACGAGCACAUGGC
This is a long non-coding RNA of Polypterus senegalus (gray bichir), 138 nucleotides long. RefSeq lists it as uncharacterized. NCBI's taxonomy places the organism in Eukaryota, Metazoa, Chordata, Cladistia, Polypteriformes, Polypteridae. The record is from RefSeq and is a predicted model, not a curated record. The transcript is spliced from 3 exons.